CCUACGGGUGGCAGCAGUAGGGAAUAUUGCUCAAUGGGGGAAACCCUGAAGCAGCAACGCCGCGUGGAGGAUGAAGGUCUUCGGAAUGUAAACCCCUUUUGUUAGGGAAGAUAAUGACGGUAUCUAACGAAUAAGCACCGGCCAACUUCGUGCCAGCAGCCGCGGUAAUACGGAGGGUGCAAGCGUUACUCGGAAUCAGUGGGCGUAAAGAGCGCGUAGGCGGGAUAGCAAGUCAGAUGUGAAAUCCUAGGGCUUAACCAUAGAACUGCAUUUGAAACUGUUAUUCUAGAGUAUGGGAGAGGUAGGUGGAAUUCUUGGUGUAGGGGUGAAAUGCGUAGAGAUCAGGAGGAAUACUCAUUGCGAAGGCGGCCUGCUGGAACAUAACUGACGCUGAUGCGCGAAAGCGUGGGGAGCGAACAGGAUUAGAUACCCUAGUAGUC
This 440-nucleotide ribosomal RNA is filed under the name uncultured bacterium. RNAcentral's name for it is "partial 16S ribosomal RNA". It matches the Rfam family "Bacterial small subunit ribosomal RNA", at positions 338 to 795 of the family's 1533-position model. The record is from RNAcentral.